GAUUUCUGGCUUGAAGCAUUUGGCCGGCCACGGUUUCGUGUGUUAGUGCUUUGUGCUCUGGCCAUCCUUCCAAUCGCUAUUGGCUUAUCUUCAUUGAUUGGUCAGUGGUAUUGGAUCUUUUACUUUGAAAAAAUUAGAGUGUUUAAAGCAGGCUUGCGCUGUGAAUACAUUAGCAUGGAAUAAUAAUUUAGGACUUUGGUCUUAUUUUGUUGGUUUCUAGGACUAAAGUAAUGAUUGAUAGGGACAGUUGGGGGUGCUAGUAUUCCGCGGCCAGAGGUGAAAUUCUUGGAUUCGCGGAAGACUAACUUAUGCGAAAGCAUU
Molecule: ribosomal RNA, 321 nt
Filed under: Cercozoa sp.
Lineage: Eukaryota; Cercozoa
Description: SSU rRNA
Rfam family: Eukaryotic small subunit ribosomal RNA (bases 62-321)
Source: RNAcentral